ACGGGGCCCGCACAAGCGGUGGAGCAUGUUGGUUUAAUUCGACGCAACGCGAAGAACCUUACCAGGGCUUGACACUCCCCUGACCGCGUAUGAAAGUACGUUUUCACCCUCGGGUGACAGGGAGACAGGUGGUGCAUGGUUGUCGUCAGCUCGUGUCGUGAGAUGUUGGGUUAAGUCCCGCAACGAGCGCAACCCUUGUCAUUAGUUGCUACGAAAGGGCACUCUAAUGAGACUGCCGGUGACAAACCGGAGGAAGGUGGGGAUGACGUCAAGUCCUCAUGGCCCUUAUAGGUGGGGCUACACACGUCAUACAAUGGCUGGUACAAAGGGUUGCCAACCCGCGAGGGGGAGCCAAUCCCAUAAAGCCAGUCGUAGUCCGGAUCGCAGUCUGCAACUCGACUGCGUGAAGUCGGAAUCGCUAGUAAUCGUGGAUCAGCAUGUCACGGUGAAUACGUUCCCGGGUCUU
RNAcentral lists this ribosomal RNA (466 nucleotides) under uncultured Comamonadaceae bacterium. Its description in RNAcentral is "bacterial SSU rRNA". It matches the Rfam family "Bacterial small subunit ribosomal RNA", at positions 916 to 1381 of the family's 1533-position model. The record is from RNAcentral. Lineage: Bacteria; Pseudomonadati; Pseudomonadota; Betaproteobacteria; Burkholderiales; Comamonadaceae.